GCGAACGGGGAGGAGCCCAGAGCCUGAAUCAGUGUGUGUGUUAGUGGAAGCGUCUGGAAAGGCGCGCGAUACAGGGUGACAGCCCCGUACACAAAAAUGCACAUGCUGUGAGCUCGAUGAGUAGGGCGGGACACGUGGUAUCCUGUCUGAAUAUGGGGGGACCAUCCUCCAAGGCUAAAUACUCCUGACUGACCGAUAGUGAACCAGUACCGUGAGGGAAAGGCGAAAAGAACCCCGGCGAGGGGAGUGAAAAAGAACCUGAAACCGUGUACGUACAAGCAGUGGGAGCACAGAGCAAUCUGUGUGACUGCGUACCUUUUGUAUAAUGGGUCAGCGACUUAUAUUCUGUAGCAAGGUUAACCGAAUAGGGGAGCCGAAGGGAAACCGAGUCUUAACUGGGCGUUAAGUUGCAGGGUAUAGACCCGAAACCCGGUGAUCUAGCCAUGGGCAGGUUGAAGGUUGGGUAACACUAACUGGAGGACCGAACCGACUAAUGUUGAAAAAUUAGCGGAUGACUUGUGGCUGGGGGUGAAAGGCCAAUCAAACCGGGAGAUAGCUGGUUCUCCCCGAAAGCUAUUUAGGUAGCGCCUCGUGAAUUCAUCUCCGGGGGUAGAGCACUGUUUCGGCAAGGGGGUCAUCCCGACUUACCAACCCGAUGCAAACUGCGAAUACCGGAGAAUGUUAUCACGGGAGACACACGGCGGGUGCUAACGUCCGUCGUGAAGAGGGAAACAACCCAGACCGCCAGCUAAGGUCCCAAAGUCAUGGUUAAGUGGGAAACGAUGUGGGAAGGCCCAGACAGCCAGGAUGUUGGCUUAGAAGCAGCCAUCAUUUAAAGAAAGCGUAAUAGCUCACUGGUCGAGUCGGCCUGCGCGGAAGAUGUAACGGGGCUAAACCAUGCACCGAAGCUGCGGCAGCGACACUAUGUGUUGUUGGGUAGGGGAGCGUUCUGUAAGCCUGUGAAGGUGUGCUGUGAGGCAUGCUGGAGGUAUCAGAAGUGCGAAUGCUGACAUAAGUAACGAUAAAGCGGGUGAAAAGCCCGCUCGCCGGAAGACCAAGGGUUCCUGUCCAACGUUAAUCGGGGCAGGGUGAGUCGACCCCUAAGGCGAGGCCGAAAGGCGUAGUCGAUGGGAAACAGGUUAAUAUUCCUGUACUUGGUGUUACUGCGAAGGGGGGACGGAGAAGGCUAUGUUGGCCGGGCGACGGUUGUCCCGGUUUAAGCGUGUAGGCUGGUUUUCCAGGCAAAUCCGGAAAAUCAAGGCUGAGGCGUGAUGACGAGGCACUACGGUGCUGAAGCAACAAAUGCCCUGCUUCCAGGAAAAGCCUCUAAGCAUCAGGUAACAUCAAAUCGUACCCCAAACCGACACAGGUGGUCAGGUAGAGAAUACCAAGGCGCUUGAGAGAACUCGGGUGAAGGAACUAGGCAAAAUGGUGCCGUAACUUCGGGAGAAGGCACGCUGAUAUGUAGGUGAAGCGACUUGCUCGUGGAGCUGAAAUCAGUCGAAGAUACCAGCUGGCUGCAACUGUUUAUUAAAAACACAGCACUGUGCAAACACGAAAGUGGACGUAUACGGUGUGACGCCUGCCCGGUGC
This 1593-nucleotide ribosomal RNA is filed under the name Escherichia coli. Its description in RNAcentral is "partial 23S ribosomal RNA". It matches the Rfam family "Bacterial large subunit ribosomal RNA", at positions 253 to 1869 of the family's 2925-position model. The record is from RNAcentral. Lineage: Bacteria; Pseudomonadati; Pseudomonadota; Gammaproteobacteria; Enterobacterales; Enterobacteriaceae.